Molecule: non-coding RNA, 72 nt
Organism: Stegodyphus mimosarum
Lineage: Eukaryota; Metazoa; Arthropoda; Arachnida; Araneae; Eresidae
Source: Rfam
GCCUUCGUGGUGUAGUGGUCAGCACGCUCGGCGCGUAUUCGAGAGGUCCGUGGUUCGAGUCCUGGGAGGGCA